Molecule: ribosomal RNA, 460 nt
Filed under: uncultured bacterium
Lineage: Bacteria
Description: partial 16S ribosomal RNA
Rfam family: Bacterial small subunit ribosomal RNA
Source: RNAcentral
CCUACGGGAGGCAGCAGUGAGGAAUCUUGGUCAAUGGACGAGAGUCUGAACCAGCCAAGUAGCGUGAAGGAUGACUGCCCUAUGGGUUGUAAACUUCUUUUAUAUGGGAAUAAAAUGUUCCACGUGUGGGAUUUUGUAUGUACCAUAUGAAUAAGGAUCGGCUAACUCCGUGCCAGCAGCCGCGGUAAUACGGAGGAUCCGAGCGUUAUCCGGAUUUAUUGGGUUUAAAGGGAGCGUAGGUGGAUUGUUAAGUCAGUGGUGAAAGUUUGCGGCUCAACCGUAAAAUUGCAGUUGAAACUGGCAGUCUUGAGUACAGUAGAGGUGGGCGGAAUUCGUGGUGUAGCUGUGAACUGCUUAGAUAUCACGAAGAACUCCGAUUGCGAAGGCAGUUCACUGGACUGCAACUGACACUGAGGCUCGAAAGUGUGGGUAUCAAACAGGAUUAGAUACCCGUGUAGUC